RNAcentral lists this ribosomal RNA (380 nucleotides) under uncultured bacterium. RNAcentral's name for it is "bacterial SSU rRNA". It matches the Rfam family "Bacterial small subunit ribosomal RNA", at positions 28 to 408 of the family's 1533-position model. The record is from RNAcentral.
GACGAACGCUGGCGGCGCGCCUAACACAUGCAAGUCGAACGAGAGAUGAAGAGCUUGCUCUUCAAAUCGAGUGGCGAACGGGUGAGUAACGCGUGAGGAACCUGCCUCAAAGAGGGGGACAACAGUUGGAAACGACUGCUAAUACCGCAUAAGCCCACGGCAUCGUUUGGCAAUCAAAGGAGCAAUCCGCUGAAAGAUGGGCUCGCGUCUGAUUAGAUAGUUGGUGAGGUAACGGCUCACCAAGUCGACGAUCAGUAGCCGGACUGAGAGGUUGAUCGGCCACAUUGGGACUGAGACACGGCCCAGACUCCUACGGGAGGCAGCAGUGGGGGAUAUUUGGACAAUGGGGAACCCUGGAUCCAGCGAUGCCGCGUGAGGAG